UAGCAUAUCAAUAAGCGGAGGAAAAGAAACCAACAGGGAUUGCCCUAGUAACGGCGAGUGAAGCGGCAACAGCUCAAAUUUGAAAUCUGGCUCUCGGGCCCGAGUUGUAAUUUGUAGAGGAUACUUUUGAUGCGGUGCCUUCCGAGUUCCCUGGAACGGGACGCCAUAGAGGGUGAGAGCCCCGUCUGGUUGGAUGCCAAAUCUCUGUAAAGUUCCUUCAACGAGUCGAGUAGUUUGGGAAUGCUGCUCUAAAUGGGAGGUAUAUGUCUUCUAAAGCUAAAUACCGGCCAGAGACCGAUAGCGCACAAGUAGAGUGAUCGAAAGAUGAAAAGCACUUUGAAAAGAGAGUUAAAAAGUACGUGAAAUUGUUGAAAGGGAAGCGUUUAUGACCAGACUUGGGCUUGGUUAAUCAUCUGGGGUUCUCCCCAGUGCACUUUUCCAGUCCAGGCCAGCAUCAGUUUUCCCCGGGGGAUAAAGGCGGCGGGAAUGUGGCUCUCUUCGGGGAGUGUUAUAGCCCACCGUGUAAUACCCUGGGGGGGACUGAGGUUCGCGCAUCUGCAAGGAUGCUGGCGUAAUGGUCAUCAACGACCCGUCUUGAAACACGGACCAAGGAGUCGUCUUCGUAUGCGAGUGUUCGGGUGUCAAACCCCUACGCGUAAUGAAAGUGAACGCAGGUGAGAGCUUCGGCGCAUCAUCGACCGAUCCUGAUGUUCUCGGAUGGAUUUGAGUAAGAGCAUACGGGGCCGGACCCGAAAGAAGGUGAACUAUGCCUGUAUAGGGUGAAGCCAGAGGAAACUCUGGUGGAGGCUCGCAGCGGUUCUGACGUGCAAAUCGAUCGUCAAAUAUGGGCAUGGGGGCGAAAGACUAA
RNAcentral lists this ribosomal RNA (868 nucleotides) under Fusarium oxysporum. RNAcentral describes it as "LSU rRNA". It matches the Rfam family "Eukaryotic large subunit ribosomal RNA", at positions 36 to 934 of the family's 3401-position model. Lineage: Eukaryota; Fungi; Ascomycota; Sordariomycetes; Hypocreales; Nectriaceae. The record is from RNAcentral.